UAUGAAUUGCCUGAUAAAAAGGAUUACUUUGAUAGAGUAAAUUAUGUAGAUUUUCUACAUUCAUAA
Molecule: transfer RNA, 66 nt
Filed under: Paralimna concors
Lineage: Eukaryota; Metazoa; Arthropoda; Insecta; Diptera; Ephydridae
Description: tRNA-Ile
Source: RNAcentral